RNAcentral lists this ribosomal RNA (319 nucleotides) under uncultured eukaryote. RNAcentral's name for it is "partial 18S ribosomal RNA". It matches the Rfam family "Eukaryotic small subunit ribosomal RNA", at positions 1470 to 1796 of the family's 1831-position model. The record is from RNAcentral.
CCCUUAGAUGUUCUGGGCAGCACGCGCGCUACAAUGGUCUUCGCAAACGGAUGCAUUCUCGAAGGAGAAUGCCAAUCUUGGAAUCUAUGCCUUGGUCGGGACAGUUGCUUGCAAUUUUUCGUCUCGAACCAGGAAUUCCUUGUAAUCGUGAUUCAUCACAUCACGAUGAAUACGUCCCUGCCCUUUGUACACACCGCCCGUCGCUCCUACCGAUCGAAGAGUUAGGUGAAUUGUUUUGAUCGAUAAGAUUUGACUAUGGUCAACUCUCGUUGUGAAAUUCUGUGAAUCUGACUGUUUAGAGGAAGGAAAAGUCGUAACA